CCGGUUGAUCCUGCCGGCGGCCACUGCUAUUGGGUUUCGCUUAAGCCAUGCGAGUCGAGAGGGUUCGGCCCUCGGCAGACUGCUCAGUAACACGUGGAGAACUUGCCCUAGGCUGGUGAAUAACGUCGGGAAACUGACGAUAAUGCGCCAUAGCCCAUCCUUCCUGGAACGGUGGAUGGGUGAAAGCUCCGGCGGCCUAGGAUAGCUCUGCGGCCUAUCAGGUUGUAGCGAGGGUAACGUCCUCGCUAGCCUACGACGGGUACGGGUUGUGAGAGCAAGAGCCCGGAGAUGGAUUCUGAGACACGAAUCCAGGCCCUACGGGGUGCAGCAGGCGCGAAAACUUUACAAUGCCGGCAACGGCGAUAAGGGGACCUCGAGUGCCAGGUUACAAAUCUGGCUGUCGUGAUGCCUAAAAAGCAUUGCAUAGCAAGGGCCGGGCAAGACCGGUGCCAGCCGCCGCGGUAACACCGGCGGCUCGAGUGGUAACCGUUAUUAUUGGGUCUAAAGGGUCUGUAGCCGGCCGGAUAAGUCUCUUGGGAAAUCUGGCAGCUUAACUGUCAGGCUUUCAGGAGAUACUGUCUGGCUCGAGGCCGGGAGAGGUGAGAGGUACUUCAGGGGUAGGGGUGAAAUCUUGUAAUCCUUGAAGGACCACCAGUGGCGAAGGCGUCUCACCAGAACGGACCUGACGGCAAGGGACGAAAGCUAGGGGCACGAACCGGAUUAGAUACCCGGGUAGUCCUAGCCGUAAACGAUACUCGCUAGGUGUCGGCCACGGUGCGACCGUUGUCGGUGCCGUAGGGAAGCCGUGAAGCGAGCCACCUGGGAAGUACGGCCGCAAGGCUGAAACUUAAAGGAAUUGGCGGGGGAGCACCACAACGGGUGGAGCUUGCGGUUUAAUUGGAUUCAACGCCGGG
This 914-nucleotide ribosomal RNA is filed under the name uncultured archaeon. RNAcentral describes it as "bacterial SSU rRNA". It matches the Rfam family "Archaeal small subunit ribosomal RNA", at positions 4 to 922 of the family's 1478-position model. The record is from RNAcentral.